RNAcentral lists this vault RNA (103 nucleotides) under Lottia gigantea (owl limpet). It matches the Rfam family "Vault RNA". Rfam says of the family: This family of RNAs are found as part of the enigmatic vault ribonucleoprotein complex. The complex consists of a major vault protein (MVP), two minor vault proteins (VPARP and TEP1), and several small untranslated RNA molecules. Lineage: Eukaryota; Metazoa; Mollusca; Gastropoda; Lottiidae. The record is from Rfam by way of RNAcentral.
GGUCAGGCUUGGUCUAGUGGUUACUUCGUUUAUAAAUAAGUUUAUGACUCGAUUGAAUUCUAACACGAAAGUGUAAGAACUAUGGACGCUACCCUGAUCUUUU